Lathyrus oleraceus (garden pea) is the source of this 1325-nucleotide long non-coding RNA. RefSeq lists it as uncharacterized. The record is from RefSeq and is a predicted model, not a curated record. The transcript has 2 exons. Lineage: Eukaryota; Viridiplantae; Streptophyta; Magnoliopsida; Fabales; Fabaceae.
AAUUAAGCAAAUAUUCUAAAACCUAAUUAGCAUUUAAAUCCCGAAUUCCAAUUACUUCAAAUUAAAAGCCAAUUACCAAAACAAUGUAAAAAAAACUUGAAAAUGGGCUUGAAUCAAUGGGGGUGUAGGCCCGGUUUAGGAGGUGUGAAACUGGAUAGGCGUGUGGGAAAUCUUGGGCCUUGGGGAGAAACGUAUGCAGGCCCACUGAAGUAUGUGAGGCGAAGCCAUGCUAAUGGAUUAACGGGUGGGGGUGUCAAGAAGGAAACUUGCUUGGGCCUUGGCCCAAGUCUUCCAAUGCUAUCACAAUCGGGUGGCCCAUGUCCAUGAAGAGCAGGAAUCUCACGAAAAACCUGUUGGACUCAAACACACGAACAUGUUCGUGCAUUCAACGGUGCAUCUUCGCCAAUUCUCGUCCUCAUUACGAAAUUCCACAUGAAAAACAAUGAAGAAGACUCCGAACUCAUCCUCCAACAAUCAAGAAAUGCGAUGAACACUCGAACGAACUCCAAUGCGAGCAGAUUGCAGUGCCACAGACUCAACACGAUUAGUGGCCUCCAAAAUCGAGACUGAAUCCAACCGAUUCCAAGUUUUUCGUUUCAUCUUCAUGUGUGCGAGGAAGUUAAAGCUUCAAUCGAUUCCGCUUCGGUUUGUUCUGCAGGGUGAUGGUGAAGGAAUUCAACGGAGUUGAAGAUUUGAGUUUCGACAGUGAAGAAGAUUGGCUUUGGAUAGUGAAGUUUUGGACAAUGAAGCAGAUCGAAGAGUCGAAACUCUGUUGAAGAGUAAAAGGUGAAGUUGAAGAUGAAGGUUUAAGAAGAUCCCUCAGAAUGAGGUUUGAAGUGUUUAUAUAGAGCCCUUAUCCUAACUGAUUCGGGCAGCCCUUUGGGCAAUCAGGUUAUGGAUUGUGUAGGGUUUCCUGUAGUACUUCUGGUUGAAGGUUGUAUAGGUCAAUGGAUGUUGAAUGCAUGUUGAUCAUGAUGUAGCAAGGUCAGUGGCAUGAUAUGAGGUGCACUGCAGGGUGUGGCUAUGCAAUUGUUUUUUGGUUGAUAAAAUUCCAAUUCUGUUUCGGUUGGCAGCAGCAGCAAGGCAAAUGCUUGGUCCAUGUCGAAGGAUCGGCGAACCAACUUGUUUAAGUCUUGGUGGUUUAGACUUUGUAGAUCUAGUUCGGUAGGAUUGUCAUGAUUGUAUGACAUAGGUUUUGAAUUAAAAAUUAGAACUUUAUGUCAUGAACUUAUGUUCUUUUGGAUUUGAAUUAUAUGUAAAAUCAAAUUUAUUUGAAAUUUGAAUGUGAAGUUGGUAAUUUGAAUGAAAUGUUGGAUUGUUUUGGA